This is a long non-coding RNA of Heterocephalus glaber (naked mole-rat), 5536 nucleotides long. RefSeq lists it as uncharacterized. Lineage: Eukaryota; Metazoa; Chordata; Mammalia; Rodentia; Bathyergidae. The record is from RefSeq and is a predicted model, not a curated record.
CGGGCGAGCGGCGGCGGCGGGCAGGGGCAGGGCAUGACUGACGCGCCCUCUGCCUGCGCUUAUGUGAGAGAAAGCGGCCGAGGGAGGGAGGGUGCCGAGCCCGGCUGCCCUCCCCUUCACUUUCCCUCGGAAGCUCACUCUUUCCCUCCACCUCCCCCGCAGCCCCACCUCCCGCCUUCUUUCCUUCCUCUUUCUCCUCCCUUCCUGAAAGUGGGCCGCCAGACUUGCAAGUUCAGUCUCGGGACGGGAGAUCAGGACCUGUUUUAGAGGCGACGCGACCGCGCUGGCAGAGUUGGAGCGGAGAAAAAGUAGGUACAGUGGCCAGGAAGGAGGGAGCCGACCCUUUGUCCCUGGCAGCCCUAGUGCUCCUGCCCUGUUAGAGAUGCGCCUGGCACUCAGCGUCCCGCGCGAAGUCUGCAAACUGCCUGCCCGAGAGCGCUACAGUUUUUGAGAGAAAGUCUUCACUCUGGCGGAGACCUUCACCGGACCUGGGAAUAAGCAAAACCCCACUUCCUUCCUCUGGGUAACUUGAAGUUGCUUGGUAAAGCAAGAACUACAGGACUUCUCAACUUUCAUCCUGGUGGGGUAGAUGCUAAUGAACUCUUUGGAAUCCUAAACUUCUGGCAGAUGGAAAGAAGGGCCUGAGUCCUAAUGGAUAGUACAGACAGGGCCAUCAAUUUCAGCAAGAAGUCGGGUUUACAAGAGAAAGCAGAUGAUAAAGGAGGAUACAUGCCAGCAUAUUCUGGGAAGGACUUGACAUCUACAGAAAAGUGGCAGCAUUUCCCAUUGGAAAAACACCCAGGAGCUGUCUCCUGGUGCUGGUGGCAUGGUCUCUCCAGUGGCACAAGGAAGUUAAUAAGAAAGAGGAUAAUCACAAACCUCUUAUGUCAAUUCAUUGAGCCAGACCUGAGGGUUAGAUGGUCAAAAGCAGGGAUGGAACUCAGGACCUUGUGCUUGCAAGGCAGGAAGCAGCACCACUGAGCUAAAUCCACGGCCCUGUCUGACUAUAAUUUUAUGAGAAUGCAACCAAGAUUGGAAGAAGUUGAGAAGGACAUAAUCAUGGAGGACACAAAGGCUAGGCUUUGAAGGACUAGUAGGAAAUUGGGAAAGCAGCAGGAUGGGAAGAGAGCAUUCUACAUAUUCUGGGGAAAGAUGUUGGAAUGAAGGCAGCAGAGGGACAAGGACAAAAAUACGACAGACCAUGCCAGAAAAUGUCUAUCACCUACUAGCAGCAUCUCAUUGAUGUUUUGACAUAGGGAAGAUGUGGAAUCUCUGGAACCAAUGAAGAGAACUACACUCUGAAAGUUCAAUGUACAGUACAUGGGUCUGUUUUUCCAGAAAAUAACAUGUAUUUUUAGGGCUUUUGUACUCCUGUAGUUUAGAAUAAAACAUGACUGUCUCCUAAGUGGAAUAAAGGGAAGUGUGUAUUCUGGAUCCUUAAGGGAAAGAUCAGCUGAAGCAAUCUGGACCCCAUCCUCAUGAGACCAGAUCUUAUGAGCAAGGGCUCUGAACCAUAUUUCUUCAAAGAUAAACUUCAAAAAAUUCUCAAUUCUUAUUUUAGUAAACAUUGAAAUUAUUUUAUCUUCUCACAAUGUAAAAUUAUUUCAAGUUUUGCUCAUUCUUUCAAAAUAUUUUGAUGAAUAGCAAUUCUAUAUUUAUGCAGGAUCUUAGUUACUUUCUUGUUGGUGGGACAAAAUACCUGACAUCCACAAUUUGAAGGAAGAAAGAUUUAUUUUGGCUUACAGUUCAAAAAGAUUUCAGCCCAUAGUCUGCUGACUCUCAGGCAGGAAGACAUGGCAGAGGUGCACAGCAAAAGAAAAGUACCUUUAUGGCAUGGCUGCAGGAUGCAGAGACAGAGAGAGAGAGGGGUGGGGAGAGAGAGAGAGAGAGAGAGAGAGGGAGAUCAAGGGAGGAGGAGGGAGAUAUAUCAUUCUAGGCAAUGCCCACAGUGACCCACCUCCUCAGACCAGGCUUUACCUCUCCAUUUCACAUUCAACUAUGUACCUGUUGCUGGGCUAAUAGGCUGAUUGGUAUCACACACCCACGAUCCAGUCACCUCCCCAAAGUCCUCCCUAUGAGUCCAUGAGCACAUGAGGCUUUGGGGGACAUCUAGAUAAAAACCAUUACGUGAAGAGAAGAAAAAUCAUAGAUUCUUACAGACAAUGUACGAUUAUAUCUGUCAGCACAAACUUCUUUUGUUUUAAUAGAUUUUAUUUUCACUGACUGAAAUACCAUAGAGGUCUUGACAAUUAUAAAAGUAUGCUGUAUCCAGUUUAGAAAGACUUAACUUUGCAGAAUUAUUUCUUCCAAAAAGGACAUAUCCUAUUAAGAAAUCUUUUCAAAUAAAAAGAUUAGAUCCUAAAUAUAAAUCCUCAAAUACCUAAAACUUAAACUAUUUUUUAUCUGAAAUUUCAAAGGUAUAGCUAUUUCAAUAUCUUAAAGUUUUAUAUUUAUAUUGGAAAUUCAUGCUAAUUUUCUAAAUAGAGUUCAUUGUUCUUCUUUAAGAGUUCCAAUUAUAGCCAGUGUAUUUGGUUUAAGGAAUAUGAGCAAACAUGUAUACAGAAUUAUUCAGGGAAUAUUUUUUUCUGAAAUAUUCUUGGCAAAACUGAUGUGGAAAAAGUAGGAGUAGACUCUCUUAAAGAAAUAUUUGUUUCCACUUGGUAUUUUAUUUGCAAUUUUUUAUUUAAAAUAAAGUCCCAGUCUUUGCCUCCCAGAGCAGCACUGAUCAGGCCCAAAGCUCAGCUUCUUCUCAAAGUCUCUUUUUUUCUACUUUUCCUGUAUAAUAAGUUAAUUUGCCUUGUGCUGCCAUGGCUCGCAGGAGACUAGGACUUACUGCACAGGUUUUAGUAACUUCCCCUUUCCCUGUUCCCUACAUUUGGUGCCCGAUGUGGAUGGGUGAACUCACCUGUGAGACAAACUCGGAGUAAAAGAGACAGCACAUGGAUCUCCCAGGAUGAUUUCUGGACUCAGAUGAGGGACACUGGGGAAAGAGUGCUCCUACAAUACCUGAAAGGAUAAGGACUCAGCCUAAUGGAAGAAAUGACACACCCACCAUCAAGGUAAUGGAAUGGGAAAAUAUUUUUUAAAAACCCAGUGAAAAUCAUCUGUGUUGCAAAGCCUACAGCCAUGAAUCCCCACAUAGAAGAAGCAAAAUGACUGAAUAUGGAAAAUGUUCAUACAAAUGCCAUCAGUGUAGUAAAGCCUUUUCAAGUUCUGCUGAGCUUAGAGGCCACACUCAAACUAACAUAACAGAGAAGCCAUAUGAAGGUUGCAUGUGCAGAAAAAAUUCCAGUCAAUCUCUUAAACAUUAUCAGCAAGAGGGAACACAGACACGAGAGAAACAGUGUGAAUACCAGCAGUGUGGGAAAACUUCCACUCAUUCAUCUAAAUUCAGAAGGCAUAAUUGAUCACACACCAGGAGAGAAACCAUAUGAUUGUCAUCUGUGUGGGAAAGCCUUAACUCCAUCAUGUACCCUUAAACAGCAUAAAAGAAUACACACAGGAGAGAAACCAUAUGAAUGUCAUCUGUGUAAGAAAGCCUUCACUCAGUCAUAUUUCCUUACCCAGCAUAAAAGAACACACACAGGAGAGAAACCAUAUGAAUGGCAUCUGUGUGGGAAAGCCUUCACUGAUUCAUCUAACCUUAAACAGCAUAAAAGAACACACACAGGAGAAAAACCAUAUGAAUGUCAUGUGUGUGGGAAAGCUUUCACUCAAUCCAGUCACCUUAGUAAACAUGAGAGAAUACACACAGGAGAGAAACCAUAUAAAUGUCAACUGUGUGAGAAAGCCUUCACUCAAUUAUCUAGCUUUGGGAAACAAGAGAAAACACACUCCACAGAGAAAUCAUAAACAUUCUGUGUUGGAAAACCUUCAGUAAAUUAUGUUGCUUAGUCUUCCUGAGAAAACUCACACAAAAGAGAAAAACUGUGAAUAUCCUGUGAGAGGGAAAGACUUCGAUCAAUGUUUUAGACUUAAUAUUCAUUAAAGAGCACAGUAGACAAACCAAUCAUCUGUCCUCUAAUUGGAAAAUUCUUCACUCAUUUGUCUAACCUUAGUGGGUGAGCAUCAGGGAAAGCUCACAGCACAAAAACCAUACUGAGAACAUAUGUGUAGGAAACAGUUAUCUACUCAUAAUGAUGAGACAGUACACAUAGCAAAGAAAAUACAUAAAUGUCAUCUACAUGGAAAAGUCUUAGGCCAAUCUUAGAUGGGAUAGAAAAAUCUCAACAUGGAUAUAAACUCAGUAUAGAGAUAAGAGUCUCUCUUGGAUGAAAAAAUUGUCUACCAACAUGCUGACCUUUGUUAUCGUGACAGACUGCUCACAAAGGAGAACAAUGAAUGCCUGCAGCACAGUCUCCCCUGUUGUGCAAAAAUAUAAAUAAAAUGAAUAAGAAAUCAACUUCAGUGUUACCUGCAAAAUGUGAAAUUGAACAAACACACAACCUCGUUAAUGAUGUGGAAAAUUCUUCAGCUGAUGCCCUCCUCAAUCAGUAUAACUAAGGAUCUAGGCAAAGUAUCUCUAUAUGUCAUGCCAUGAUGCAACAUCUCAAAUAUUUGUCUGACAAACAACGCUUCUGAUAUUUCAUUCUAGAAUCUAACAUUUAUAGAAUACUUCAAUCAUAUAUAUCAGUGUAAGGCACUAUAGAAAAUAUGACUGGAAAAUUUCUACCUGUAAUGAAUGUUGCAAAAGUUCAAUUUAUAAUUUAUUUUUAAACAAUAUUGGAAAACUUCACUUGCAAGAACUUCUAGAUCUUCAGUCAUCAUUAAGGACCAUUAUUCUAAGUACAAUGCUUAGUUGAAACAAGAAUAUGUGUGGAUAAUAAAACUUAAUUGCUGAUUGGUGGCUAAAUAUUUUGAGGACUAUCAAAACAUUAACCUGAGGAAAUGAUUUCUUGCAAAAUAAUGACCAUUUCUUUACUCAAACAGCAGCAUGUUUGGAAAAUGUAAGCACGCACACUGGACCAGAUUCUUGGUGUCAUGUAUAAAGCAAAGUUCCAAAUCAACAUUUGUUCACCAUCACAUGAAGGUUCUCACCAUUAGAAGUUAUCUACUUUAUAAGCUAUUUGAAGAAAUAUUAGAGAGCUUUUACUUAGGAACUCUUUCGAAAAUAUACAUCCACUCUGAAAGAGAUAUGAAACAAACUAACUACAAGGCAAAUACUUCAGAAUACUGACUAGAUAAUUAAUAUGAAAAAAUGUUGCAUAUUAAUAUAGGAUAGUGUGAUUAUCUAGAAAUAUCAAAUAUGGAUAUGUGGGAUAAAUUAAUUAACUUUCCAAAAACCAAAUUCAAUACAAUUUAUGUACAGAAAAAAAACCUGUGAUUUUAAUUAUUUAACUAAUAAAACAUUGGGAAGCAAAAAUAAAUAAAUAAAAUAAAGUCCCUUACCUUAAAAGCUGUUUUUUUUUAAAUGGCUGUAAUCAAUUAGGCCAAAGGAACAAAUUUUGGAGCUUGACAAAAAUUGCUGACCGCCUCACCCCUAUUACACCGUAGAAUACAGAAAGACUAGAUUUACCAAUAAAGAUUUGGGAAAAUU